AUGAACGCUGGCGGCGUGCCUAAUACAUGCAAGUCGAACGCUGGAGAUCUAGCUUGCUAGAUCGAAGGAGUGGCGAACGGGUGAGUAAUACAUAAGCAACCUACCCACGAAGUCUGGGAUAAUCUCUGGAAACGGGGACUAAUACCGGAUAGGUAAUCGGAAGGCAUCUUCUGGUUAUUAAAGGUUAAAAACACUGGUGGAUGGGCUUAUGGCGCAUUAGUUAGUUGGUGAGGUAACGGCCCACCAAGACGAUGAUGCGUAGCCGGCCUGAGAGGGUGAACGGCCACAUUGGGACUGAGACACGGCCCAGACUCCUACGGGAGGCAGCAGUAGGGAAUUGUCGGCAAUGGGGGCAACCCUGACCGAGCAACGCCGCGUGAGUGAAGACGGCCUUCGGGUUGUAAAGCUCUGUUGUAAGGGAAGAACGGUAGAUAGAGAAUAUCUAAGUGACGGUACCUUACCAGAAAGCCACGGCUAACUACGUG
RNAcentral lists this ribosomal RNA (485 nucleotides) under uncultured bacterium. Its description in RNAcentral is "partial 16S ribosomal RNA". It matches the Rfam family "Bacterial small subunit ribosomal RNA", at positions 29 to 507 of the family's 1533-position model. The record is from RNAcentral.